GAUGAAGAACGUAGCGAAAUGCGAUAAGUAAUGUGAAUUGCAGAAUUCAGUGAAUCAUCGAGUCUUUGAACGCACAUUGCGCCCCCUGGUAUUCCGGGGGGCAUGCCUGUCCGAGCGUCAUUGCUGCCCUCAAGCACGGCUUGUGUGUUGGGCCCCCGUCCCCCCCUCCCGGGGGACGGGCCCGAAAGGCAGCGGCGGCACCGCGUCCGGUCCUCGAGCGUAUGGGGCUUCGUCACCCGCUCUUGUAGGCCCGGCCGGCGCUUGCCGACACAUCAAUCUUUUUUCCAGGUUGACCUCGGAUCAGGUAGGGAUACCCGCUGAACUUAAGCAUAUCAAUAAGCGGAGAA
Molecule: unclassified non-coding RNA, 347 nt
Filed under: soil metagenome
Description: partial contains 5.8S ribosomal RNA, internal transcribed spacer 2, and large subunit ribosomal RNA
Rfam family: 5.8S ribosomal RNA (bases 1-120)
Source: RNAcentral